This 64-nucleotide transfer RNA is filed under the name Centrocolumna evidens. Its description in RNAcentral is "tRNA-Asp". Lineage: Eukaryota; Metazoa; Arthropoda; Insecta; Blattodea; Blattellidae. The record is from RNAcentral.
GAAGGUUUAGUUAAAAAUAACAUUAGAAUGUCAAACUAAAAUUAUCAAAUAUUGAUAUCCUUCU